UACGUAGGGGGCAAGCGUUGUCCGGAAUCAUUGGGCGUAAAGAGCGUGUAGGCGGCUUGGUAAGUCCGCUGUGAAAGUCCAGGGCUCAACCCUGGAAAGCCGGUGGAAACUGUCAAGCUUGAGUCCGGAAGAGGCGAGUAGAAUUCCUGGUGUAGCGGUGAAAUGCGCAGAUAUCAGGAGGAACACCAAUGGCGAAGGCAGCUCGCUGGGACGGUACUGACGCUGAGACGCGAAAGCGUGGGGAGCAAACAGG
Molecule: ribosomal RNA, 253 nt
Filed under: uncultured bacterium
Lineage: Bacteria
Description: partial 16S ribosomal RNA
Rfam family: Bacterial small subunit ribosomal RNA
Source: RNAcentral